Molecule: unclassified non-coding RNA, 417 nt
Filed under: Pseudognaphalium californicum
Lineage: Eukaryota; Viridiplantae; Streptophyta; Magnoliopsida; Asterales; Asteraceae
Description: partial external transcribed spacer
Source: RNAcentral
AAAGGUGCAUGAGUGGUGUUUGGUUUGUUACGGGUGGUUGGCUAUUUGCUUGCGCAACAACUUCUACCUGGCAUACCUCUUCAGUCUUGUGUCAAUGCUUUUAUUGCAUUGAAUGCAUGAUGGGUUUCUUGUGUUGCAUGCCUAAUUAAUGGUAUCACUUGAUGAAUUGGUUUUACUUUCGUCUGGCAUUGCCUAUGCGAUGUGAGAUGAACCUUGAAGCAGCCUUUGUGAUCCACUCUUUUGAUGCAUACGCAUUGAUUUUGUGGCUCAUUGAGUGUUGCUCGGUCUCAUGGAUACGGAACCUGGUGUGGGCAUGGAAUCUUAAUGGUUCCUUGUUUGCCCAAGUUUAGCUUUUCUAAAACGAUUGUCUAUCAUGUGUUAACGUGGUAGACUACUUCGAAUAUGAAUGCUACCUGG